RNAcentral lists this ribosomal RNA (468 nucleotides) under uncultured bacterium. Its description in RNAcentral is "partial 16S ribosomal RNA". It matches the Rfam family "Bacterial small subunit ribosomal RNA", at positions 28 to 507 of the family's 1533-position model. The record is from RNAcentral.
GACGAACGCUGGCGGCGUGCUUAACACAUGCAAGUCGAACGGAAAGGCCCUGCUUUUGUGGGGUGCUCGAGUGGCGAACGGGUGAGUAACACGUGAGUAACCUGCCCUUGUCUUUGGGAUAACUUCAGGAAACUGGGGCUAAUACCGGAUAGGAGCUCCUGCUGCAUGGUGGGGGUUGGAAAGUUUCGGCGGUUGGGGAUGGACUCGCGGCUUAUCAGCUUGUUGGUGGGGUAGUGGUUUACCAAGGCUGUGACGGGUAGCCGGCCUGAGAGGGGGAACGGGGACAAGGGGACUAGGAUACGGCCCAGAAGCCUACGGGAGGCAGCAGUGGAGAGUAUUGCAGAAUGGGCGGAAGCCUGAUGCAGAGACGCCGCGUGCGGGAUGACGGCCUUCGAGUUGUAAACCGCUUUCGCCUGUGACGAAGAGCGAGUGACGGUAAUGGGUAAAGAAGCACCGGCUAACUACGUG